Molecule: unclassified non-coding RNA, 649 nt
Filed under: Hevea brasiliensis (rubber tree)
Lineage: Eukaryota; Viridiplantae; Streptophyta; Magnoliopsida; Malpighiales; Euphorbiaceae
Source: RNAcentral
UGACAGCAAACCUUUCCAACUCUUGAAACUCUGCUCUUAUGUCUACAACUGAUGCUGUCUUGUCCAAUCUUUGGAAGUCAUUCUCCAGCUUCUUUGCUCUAUCAAUGAACUCUUCCACAACUGCCAAAAAUUGUCGGUUACCACUUCUUUCAGAGUUUUUUAGCUUUUGAGAAUUCACAUCACUAUUGUUUACAGGUGCAAGAAACCCAUUUCUCAUGCUGUAAGCAAGGCUACAUGCGUCUCCCAGUGACAACCUAGAAGAGAAGUAUGAUAUGAUAUCAUAGCUUGAAGCCGCAUCUACAGAUAAAAUGGAUGCUGGUGCAGGAUGAAACAAUUGCUGUAGAAGCUGUGUUGUCAAUAUAAGCCUUCUCUUUGAUCGAUGCAUUGGCUGCAAAUCAUCAAUCAUUUCAACCUCAUCUUCCACCUUCUCAGUCAGUCGGUUUAAGGCUUUUGCCCAGUCUUGUUCUGUGACACUGAUAUUCUGAAGCCUGUUGGAAUCUUGAGUCACCUCUUUAUGCCACGGUAGAAGCUCAGAUGAUGUGAUUUUUCGCUUCUUUGGUCUCAUAAUAGCCUCUUGAUUGGUGACUUCUGAAGGCAACAUAUAGGGGGAUGACAACUGCUGACUACUUGGCCAAACCCUGCCACCCUG